RNAcentral lists this ribosomal RNA (301 nucleotides) under uncultured bacterium. RNAcentral describes it as "partial 16S ribosomal RNA". It matches the Rfam family "Bacterial small subunit ribosomal RNA", at positions 509 to 808 of the family's 1533-position model. The record is from RNAcentral.
CAGCCGCCGCGGUAAUACGUAGGUGGCAAGCGUUGUCCGGAAUUAUUGGGCGUAAAGCGCGCGCAGGCGGAUCAGUUAGUCUGUCUUAAAAGUUCGGGGCUUAACCCCGUGAUGGGAUGGAAACUGCUGAUCUAGAGUAUCGGAGAGGAAAGUGGAAUUCCUAGUGUAGCGGUGAAAUGCGUAGAUAUUAGGAAGAACACCAGUGGCGAAGGCGACUUUCUGGACGAAAACUGACGCUGAGGCGCGAAAGCCAGGGGAGCGGACGGGAUUAGAUACCCCAGUAGUCCCUGUCUCUUAUACC